Molecule: ribosomal RNA, 115 nt
Filed under: Yersinia enterocolitica subsp. palearctica YE-149
Lineage: Bacteria; Pseudomonadati; Pseudomonadota; Gammaproteobacteria; Enterobacterales; Yersiniaceae
Source: RNAcentral
CCUGGCGGCCAUAGCGCGGGGGGCCCACCUGAACCCAUGCCGAACUCAGAAGUGAAACGCCGGAGCGCCGCUGGUAGUGUGGGGGCCCCCCAUGCGACGAGGAGGAGACGGCCAG